AGAGUUUGAUCAUGGCUCAGGAUAAACGCUGGCGGCGCGCCUAACACAUGCAAGUCGAACGAAGCAGUAGCAAUACUGACUGAGUGGCGGAAGGGUGAGUAACACGUAGGAAUCUGCCUCAUCGGAGGGAACAACCAGUCGAAAGAUUGGCUAAUACCCAAAAGGAUUGGCGACAAUCAGAGUCGAAAGGCCUGGUGAGAGGAGCCUGCGGCCCAUCAGCUAGUUGGCAGGGUAAUGGCCUACCAAGGCAACGACGGGUAGGGGGUCUGAGUGGACGUCCCCCCACACUGGAACUGAAACACGGUCCAGACGCCUGCGGGUGGCAGCAGUGAGGAAUAUUGGUCAAUGGGCGAAAGCCCGAACCAGCAACGCCGCGUGGAGGAUGAAGGUUUUCGGACUGUAAACUUCUUUUCGGGGAGACGAGAAAGGACGGUAUCCCCGGAAUAAGCCACGGCAAACUACGUG
This 465-nucleotide ribosomal RNA is filed under the name uncultured bacterium. RNAcentral's name for it is "bacterial SSU rRNA". It matches the Rfam family "Bacterial small subunit ribosomal RNA", at positions 8 to 507 of the family's 1533-position model. The record is from RNAcentral.